RNAcentral lists this ribosomal RNA (500 nucleotides) under uncultured bacterium. Its description in RNAcentral is "partial 16S ribosomal RNA". It matches the Rfam family "Bacterial small subunit ribosomal RNA", at positions 30 to 523 of the family's 1533-position model. The record is from RNAcentral.
AUUGAACGCUGGCGGCAUGCCUUACACAUGCAAGUCGAACGGCAGCACGGGAGCAAUCCUGGUGGCGAGUGGCGAACGGGUGAGUAAAGUAUCGGAACGUGCCCAGUCGUGGGGGAUAACGUAGCGAAAGUUACGCUAAUCCCGCAUACAAUCUAUGGAUGAAAGCGGGGGAUCGCAAGACCUCGCGCGAUUGGAGCGGCCGAUAUCAGAUUAGGUAGUUGGUGGGGUAAAGGCCCACCAAGCCGACGAUCUGUAGCUGGUCUGAGAGGACGACCAGCCACCCUGGGACUGGGACACGGCCCAGACUGCUACGGGAGGCAGCAGUGGGGAAUUUUGGACAAUGGGCGAAAGCCUGAUUCAGCCAUGCCGCGUGCAGGAUGAAGGCCUUCGGGUUGUAAACUGCUUUUGUACGGAACGAAAAGGUUUGGCCUAAUAAGCUGAGCUCAUGACGGUACCGUAAGAAUAAGCACCGGCUAACUACGUGCCAGCCGCCGCCGUAA